AGGCGAGUAAAGCAGUAAUGCGCUUGGGGAUGGGCCUGCGGCGGAUUAGCUAGUUGGUGGGGUAACGGCCUACCAAGGCGAUGAUCCGUAGGGGGCGUGAGAGCGUGGCCCCCCACACUGGCACUGAGACACGGGCCAGACUCCUACGGGAGGCAGCAGUGAGGAAUAUUGCACAAUGGGCGCAAGCCUGAUGCAGCAACGCCGCGUGAGGGACGAAGGCCUUCGGGUCGUAAACCUCUUUUCUGAGGGACGAGUAAGGACGGUACCUCAGGAAUAAGUCUCGGCUAACUACGUGCCAGCAGCCGCGGUAAAACGUAGGAGGCGAGCGUUAUCCGGAUUUACUGGGCGUAAAGCGUACGCAGGUGGCUUCGUGAGUCGGACAUGAAAGCUCCUGGCUUAACUGGGAGAGGUUGUUCGAUACUGCGGGGCUUGAGGUUGGGAGAGGGACGUGGAAUUCCCGGUGUAGUGGUGGAAUGCGUAGAUAUCGGGAGGAACACCAGUGGCGCAAGCGGCGUCCUGGCCCACACCUGACGCUGAGGUACGAAAGCGUGGGUAGCAAACAGGAUUAGAUACCCUGGUAGUCCACGCUGUAAACGAUGUCAACUGGGUGUCGGUAGUUUUACACUAUCGGUGCCGAAGCCAACGCG
This 647-nucleotide ribosomal RNA is filed under the name uncultured bacterium. RNAcentral's name for it is "bacterial SSU rRNA". It matches the Rfam family "Bacterial small subunit ribosomal RNA", at positions 195 to 859 of the family's 1533-position model. The record is from RNAcentral.